Molecule: ribosomal RNA, 377 nt
Filed under: uncultured organism
Description: partial 16S ribosomal RNA
Rfam family: Bacterial small subunit ribosomal RNA
Source: RNAcentral
GUAGGUGGCAAGCACCAUCCAAAACUAUCAAACAUAAAGCGCGCGCAGGGCAAACCCCCUUAAGUCUAAUACAAAAGCCCACGGGCUCAACCACAAAAAAUCAUUGGAAACUAAAGAACUUGAACACAGAAGAGGAAAACAAAAUUCCACGUGUAGCAACAAAAUGCGUAGAGAUGUGGAGGAACACCAGUGGCGAAGGCGGCUUUCUGGUCUGUAACUGACGCUGAGGCGCGAAAGCGUGGGGAGCAAACAGGAUUAGAUACCCUGGUGGUCCACGCCGUAAACGAUGAGUGCUAAGUGUUAGGGGGUUUCCGCCCCUUAGUGCUGCAGCUAACGCAUUAAGCACUCCGCCUGGGGAGUACGGCCGCAAAGGCUGA